UCUCUCGAUUUACGGCUUUCUUUAAGCAAAUUGGUACAAAAUGAUAAAUGACACAGCAUGUGUAUGCAACGUUAUUAUACAUUUUUGGAGAUUCAGUGAAUAUAGUAAUAGUAGAAUAUUAAAAAUUCUUCCGGGUGCAGUGAAUAUAACUCCUCAUUUUAAUGUUCUCACAAAUUAUAUAUUCUAUUCGUAUUUCCAUCCCCUCUUCGUCGAAAUUAUUAGUUUUAACAUAAAGAACAUUCCAACCUAUUCCAUUUUAACCCUGUUCUCCUUUUCAUCUGUUUAUACCACAUUAGAUAUUUAUAUAUCUAUGUCAAUAGAUAUCAUGUAUCAUAUAGUUGGGAACAAAAAUAAGGACAGGUAGUAGCAAUACAUAGGUAUCAAUAAAGUUUAAUCGAAUUAAUAGUAGUGUUAUACACUUAAGUUUUAAUUACCUUAUAUACUUAUAGUAUAUAAAUUAUUUAUUACAUAAUUAAAAUUAAGAUUUACAUUUCUGUGUAAAAAAAGCCGUAUUUAACGAAACUUCAUUAAUAUCUAUUUUUACUACCUGUUCACUUAUUUCUGUUUUUAAUUGUGUAUGCACCUACAAUUUAGUUCUCAACAAUUCCCUAAAAAACCAAUAUGGCGUCGUUGUCGAAUCGUCGGCCAAAUCCAUAAAGAACAAAGAAUACUGAAACAUGAGACAAAGAAAAAUGCCAAGGAAACAUGUCAAUUACGAAUCGACGAGCGGAACAAAUGGUGCGCGCUCGUGUCUAUAGAAAUCACCUGAAUUAACCGUACAAUAAUGUACGAAGAGACCGGAGCAUCGAGUCCGGUCCCACGAAAAGGGGAACAACGUCGCGAUAUAUAUACGUGGGAAUACCUCUUCGGAAAGAGCUCAUCAUCGUCAGCAAUCAGCGAUUGCCGCGUGCAGCUGCACCAUCAUCGGAAAUAAACGAAAGUAAGUCGAAUAGGAAGAUCUCUCAGUUCGAUGGUGAGAGGAGAGGCGGGAGGCGCGUUGAGGACAGGCCCUAAAGAGCGCAGUACGCGCAGCUUCCGUGCGCAUCUUCCCUGUGUGAGUGAUAAUAGCGAUGAUGGAAACGACGUGGACGUUUACGACGGCAGCGACGGAGGUGCAACUGCUGUUUUGCAAUACGAGUGCGUCGUGAUAAUGGCAGGAGAAACGGUCUAGGGAGAGAGACACAAAGCGGGAAAGGAGAAAAAAAAACAAACAAUCGAGGGGGGAAAACAAAUCGAGAAAAAGAGAAGCUUAAACUGGAGGGCAGAAAAAGAAGAAACCGGGUACACAUGUGCAACGGUAGCCGGAAAGAUAAAGGGAUAUGGAGAAGAUACACUGUAUAUGUACUCUCUCGUUUUCGCUGGAAUAUUAUUGGAAACGAGCAUCCAGGCUGGACAUUGAACUCGCGCGUUGUGUUUGUUUCGAAUACAACGCGCGACGAGAGAAAAUAGAGGGAAAAAAUGGUCGCGAAUUGAGCGCUGAAGCCGUAUCCGAACGGAGGGACGACUUGAGCAGAAAGCAUGAAAAUCCGAUAUGCCGUGGCAGAAUUAAAUAUCCUCUGGCGUAAAAUCAAUGCAGGCGGUCGGUACUGAUUAAUUCGCGGGUCCACGGUUCCGCAGAUGGCGCGGUGAUCGUGGUACACCGGUGUGACCCGGCGACGAUCGUUAAAAAACGUCCGCGCGCAUUCAAAAGCGCAUAAUAACCGGGAAAAAGAGAGCGAACCGACGCCGUGGAAUAUCGCGGAGAAGCGUGUAUCAAUUUCGAGAGAUGAAAAGUCGAGCAGAGGCGGAAGGUCGGUGGAGUACAAAUUACCGUGGGGCAGCUGCCCUCCGCUAGCGAUUCCCGUCGACUCGCGUGUAUAUGACACGAGACGAUACGCGCAUGCGCGUUCUCUGUGUACGUUCGCUUGCACAUCGAGGGGAGCUAGGGUUGAAGAAGGAAAACAAAC
Bombus pascuorum is the source of this 1946-nucleotide long non-coding RNA. RefSeq lists it as uncharacterized. NCBI's taxonomy places the organism in Eukaryota, Metazoa, Arthropoda, Insecta, Hymenoptera, Apidae. The record is from RefSeq and is a predicted model, not a curated record. The transcript has 2 exons.